UGCAUAAAUCCCUUUUACACUAAUUUGUAUAUAGCCUACUUGUGUACCUAUUCUUUCUGUCUGCAAUUUGAGUUGCAGGAGUCCACACCUAGAGAAAGGCUUGCAGAAGAGUCUGCACAAAGAACUAAUACAGAGGGUGACAUCCGUUCCCUCUAUAAACGGCAUCUUCAACAAAAAAUUGAGUAUUUUGAGCUGAAAAAAUGCAAAUUAAGAGGAGAAAUUGAACUUGACAACUUGAAAAAGAGAAAAAUUGCUCUAAAGAUAGAGUUGCUUCAAUAGGACCUUCAGAGCAAAAGAUGACUUGCUGGCUUUUCUUUAAAGAAUUGUUUAAAUAAA
Long non-coding RNA from Carassius carassius (crucian carp), 336 nucleotides. RefSeq lists it as uncharacterized. The record is from RefSeq and is a predicted model, not a curated record. The transcript is spliced from 3 exons. NCBI's taxonomy places the organism in Eukaryota, Metazoa, Chordata, Actinopteri, Cypriniformes, Cyprinidae.